UUGCUAAGUUUGAUGGCGACCGGCGCACGGGUGAGUAACACGUAUCCAACCUGCCGAUAACUCGGGGAUAGCCUUUCGAAAGAAAGAUUAAUACCCGAUGGCAUAAUAGAACCGCAUGGUUUGAUUAUUAAAGAAUUUCGGUUAUCGAUGGGGAUGCGUUCCAUUAGGCAGUUGGUGGGGUAACGGCCCACCAAACCUUCGAUGGAUAGGGGUUCUGAGAGGAAGGUCCCCCCACAUUGGAACUGAGACACGGUCCAAACUCCUACGGGAGGCAGCAUG
This 279-nucleotide ribosomal RNA is filed under the name uncultured bacterium. RNAcentral describes it as "partial 16S ribosomal RNA". It matches the Rfam family "Bacterial small subunit ribosomal RNA", at positions 77 to 353 of the family's 1533-position model. The record is from RNAcentral.